GAUGAAGAACGCAGCGAAAUGCGAUACUUGGUGUGAAUUGCAGAAUCCCGUGAACCAUCGAGUCUUUGAACGCAAGUUGCGCCCGAAGCCAUUAGGCCGAGGGCACGCCUGCCUGGGCGUCACACGUCGUUGCCCCCCCAUCUACUCCUUCGGGAUUGCAGGGGGCGGAUGAUGGCCUCCCGUGCGCCUCGCCGCGCGGUUGGCAUAAAUGCCAAGUCCUCGGCGACGCACGCCACGACAAUCGGUGGUUGCGAAACCUCGGUUGCCCGUCGUGUGCGGUCGUCGCGCAUCGAGGGCUCGAAAAAAUUGCCGGGUUCCGGCUCGGCUUUCAACGCGACCCCAGGUCAGGCGGGGUUACCCGCUGAAUUUAAGCAUAUCAAUAAGCGGAGGA
RNAcentral lists this unclassified non-coding RNA (391 nucleotides) under soil metagenome. Its description in RNAcentral is "partial contains 5.8S ribosomal RNA, internal transcribed spacer 2, and large subunit ribosomal RNA". The stretch from base 1 to 122 matches the Rfam family "5.8S ribosomal RNA", at positions 35 to 154 of the family's 154-position model. The record is from RNAcentral.